Molecule: ribosomal RNA, 431 nt
Filed under: uncultured bacterium
Lineage: Bacteria
Description: bacterial SSU rRNA
Rfam family: Bacterial small subunit ribosomal RNA
Source: RNAcentral
AACGAACGCUGGCGGCAUGCCUAACACAUGCAAGUCGAACGAGACUUCGGUCUAGUGGCGGACGGGUGAGUAACGCGUAGGAACCUGCCAAGCAGUGGGGAAUAACAGCUGGAAACGGCUGCUAAUACCGCAUACGCCCUUCGGGGGAAAGAUUUAUCGCUGUUUGAGGGUCCUGCGUUCGAUUAGCUAGUUGGUGAGGUAACGGCCCACCAAGGCGACGAUCGAUAGCUGGUCUGAGAGGAUGAUCAGCCACACUGGGACUGAGACACGGCCCAGACUCCUACGGGAGGCAGCAGUGGGGAAUAUUGGACGAUGGGGGAAACCCUGAUCCAGCAAUGCCGCGUGCGUGAAGAAGGCCUUAGGGUUGUAAAGCGCUUUCACCUGUGAUGAUGAUGACAGUAACAGGAGAAGAAGCCCCGGCUAACUCCGUG